Molecule: long non-coding RNA, 1790 nt
Organism: Canis lupus familiaris (dog)
Lineage: Eukaryota; Metazoa; Chordata; Mammalia; Carnivora; Canidae
Exons: 2
Source: RefSeq, a predicted model, not a curated record
UUUCAGUUUCCUCAUCUGUAAAAUUGGGUGGGGUCCCUCCUCACAAGUGGCUAGAACACAGUAAGUGCUAUACAAGUUUGUGAAAUAAAACUGAGCUUACAGUUAAUCAGUAGAACCACAGCAAAUUAUAUAUUAGGAAAACUCUAUAAAGAAAUUAGGAAGGCUUCUCUGAGGAGGUGACAUUGGAUUUAAGAUCGCAUAAUCAAAAGGAACAUUCCCGGGAAAGGUAACUGCUUGAGCAAAGGCCCUCGGUGGGAAUAGGCAUUCAUGUACUCAGCAGCAGACCAGAGAGGCUGAGAUGAAGAGUGGUAUGAGUGGCCAGGCUGGGUCACACAGAGCUUGCCACAAGCUGGGAAUAUACUCUCGGGGCAGGGGCAGCCCAUGGUGGUCACGGACGCAAGAACUCUCAUGCAAAAGCAGAAUGCUGGAGAGAGAAAUUCAGGUGUUCUAUCAGUUUGAAAGAAUUUGAGGCUAUGGCCUCAAGCAAUAAAUCUGGUAUGGAGAGGAGAAUGGAGAGGUAGAAGGCAACUCCACAGGAUCUGGUGACACAGACUGAGUGGGAAGUGAGUCAGAGGGAGGGGUUACUGCUGUGCUUCUACCUCUGUUGUAUUUGCUCUGCCACUCCCACCUGAAGUGGGGAAUCCAGGAGAAGCAGGGGCAGGGCCAAGAGGAUGGGGUGAGACUGGAGCUCAACCAGGGCUGGAAUGGAGACGACUCUGCACCCAGACCAUGGGCGGAAGAAGAUGGCCCACAAAGUGGAGGAGACCAGAACUGAAGGGAUAGGUCUAGGAGGACUGUGUCUGGCUCUUUGAAGUUGCUCGGUUAUUGCUUCAAGAGAGAAUCACUGUAGAAGUAUCCAGCAAAGGAAGAGGAGCCCAUGAAAACAGCUGAGAAGGAAAGACCAGAGAGGGAGAACCCAAAGAAGGAAAGUGGCAUGGAAGAGAAUGUCAAGCAGGAGGGAGGGAUAAAGGGGAAAGAUGCAGCUGGAAGCUGGCCCCUGGAUGGGGAACCAUUAUGACAUCACCUUUGACAAUAGUGUUUGUGCAGAUGGGGGUGGAGUCAGAAUAUGAUGAGCCCAGCACAAAUGGGAAGAAAAGGUGGCAAGGGUAUACUCUUCCCUCUUGUGACUUGGCUGUGAAGACAAGAGAAAAGGAAGACAGGAUUGGGGAGGCAAAGAGGGAGAAGUUGUGAUGGGAAGGAAACAAGCUUGUGUGUGGCCUGCAAGGGGACAGUAGAGAGAGAGCUUUGAGAUGGAACCUGGAAGUAAAGAAGGAAUAGAGAAGGAGGUUCUUUGUGUGGAACAGCCAGCCAGGAUGGCCUGGCCCUGAGAUUAGGUCUAGCUGAGACAAGACACCUUCCUCUGACCCUGGAAAGGCUGCACAGAGAUUAUUUGGAGGAUGUGGGGGCAAGAAAUUGAUGCAGGUUACACCUGGAAACCCCUGGAAUUGUCUUGGGAAUGGAGAAGGCGGUGUGUCUUCAUUUGGUCUCCUAACUUCAAGUAUCAUCUAGAGGGAAUUGACUCCUAUGGCUCCUACAACCCUGACCUUCCUGGACUGCUUGGCUGGCAGCUUCACUGUUGGCACUUCCCCUGCACGCUCUCAUGAGGAAAGAGGUCUCCUGCAUGAUCCUCCCCUCCAAACUGGCUCCCUCCUCCCUGGGCUCUCCUCUGCCCCUGGACAUGCACACCAGGCCUUCCCUGCUGCCCCCUGUGGAUUCCCAAAGUGCUGUAAACCACUCACCUGGUUUGGCAUUUACUGCAUAAUCUUUUGGGUUUUAAAAAUCUCCAUUGA